GGGACAUUGGCUCAGUCGGUAGAGCGUUGGUCUCAUAAAAUGAUCUGAUCGGUCAACAUCAGAGUAAUCCAAAGGUCGUGAGUUCGAUCCUCACAUGUCCCA
Cercophora sp. LCS_1 is the source of this 102-nucleotide non-coding RNA. NCBI's taxonomy places the organism in Eukaryota, Fungi, Ascomycota, Sordariomycetes, Sordariales, Lasiosphaeriaceae. The record is from the annotation of a GenBank genome assembly.